Long non-coding RNA from Mus musculus (house mouse), 453 nucleotides. RefSeq annotates it as predicted gene, 41815. The transcript has 4 exons. The record is from RefSeq and is a predicted model, not a curated record. Lineage: Eukaryota; Metazoa; Chordata; Mammalia; Rodentia; Muridae.
CAAAAAUUUUCUAGUUCUGUAUGAUCUGACCAGAAUGCAAACAUGCCCUGGAUUCCAUAUAGUAUGAUCUGACUGGGAUACAGCAUGCACAGAAUCUUUCAGAAUUAUGAAAGGUAACCCACAGAACUGAAACUUCCAAGUGAGUACCAGCUUCAUUUCUCUACUUCCUGUGCCUCAAGCACAUGGUAACUUCAACUACACAAGAGCAGCUUCACUCAUGAGCUCUCAACAAUAUGAUUCUCUAAACAAGCCAUAAAAUUAUGAGACUACCAGUUGACCUGUUCGUCUUCAAAGGACCCACCCUUCAUGAAGAGCUACAAACUUUGGGUCCUGGGAGAGGAAGAAUCAGUGUUUUCUAGAGACAAAAUCCUCUGAAAAGAAUCUGGCUGUUGAAAGAUGGCAAAGAAGUAAAGAGACCCAAGAUUACAUACAAUAGUUUGUGUGUUUUAAAUA